AUGAAGCAUCAAGUGGAUAUAAAAAUCUUGGAGAAAACAACUCAUGGACUUUGCAAGUUAGUAUGCAUGAUGUCAUUCCCAGACGAAUAUCUGCUAUUUCGCGCAGAAGGAAAGAUUUGGAAUGGACCCGAUGGGGCGCAAGUGAGUCCCGAUUGCCCAUUUGUGGUCAGGCAGGUGGCGGAGCUGAAGAACAAAUCGUUCGAACAAGUGCGGCACGCGGUACUCAAGAAUUUUCAGCUCAACGAAGCCACACAUGAACUCACUUUGCAGCACAUCCUGUAUGUGAGGACCGAUCCUUCCGCUCCUCCAUACAAUCUGCUGAUUGACAUAGUAGGCGAGGAAUCAUGGAGGGCGUUUUUCAAGGUGGCAUGCCGCCAUGUCCGCUCCUUCAAGCUCUUCGCCAAAUGGACCGUCAAGAAGACAAGCUCUGCCUCCAAUGCGACUGACAGCAAUAUCACAACAGCUCUAGACGAAGAUCCCGCCGUAACGGAUGAAUCCGAUGAUGGGAGCUGGCCGGCUUGCAAGCACGAUAAGCCAUGCACCAUUGAAACUUCGUGGGACCGACAAGACCCGGGGCGAAGGUUCUACCGCUGCCCCUUCUUCGCUAAUCCUAAAGAAGACUGCAAAUUCACCAAAUGGUUGGACAAGAAGUUUCCUGAGAAGGCAAACGAACUCAUAAACAAAUACCAGGACACGGUUGAUUCACUCCAACAGCAAGUCGACAACCUCAAGUGUGAGCUUGAGGAACUCCGUCGCCGUCAUCGGAAAAGAUCCGCCGAAGAAGUUGUUGUCAUUCAUGGAGACAAGUGCCCCUGUGGCAAGAGCCUGUGCGACCUAACUUGUCGCGGCCGGGAGAAACAGACACGCCCAAGCCAAACACCAAGAUUGGCCAGGGACAAUUAG
RNAcentral lists this ribosomal RNA (903 nucleotides) under Triticum aestivum (bread wheat). Its description in RNAcentral is "partial small subunit ribosomal RNA". The record is from RNAcentral. Lineage: Eukaryota; Viridiplantae; Streptophyta; Magnoliopsida; Poales; Poaceae.